This is a non-coding RNA of Oryctolagus cuniculus (rabbit), 986 nucleotides long. The record is from RefSeq and is a predicted model, not a curated record. NCBI's taxonomy places the organism in Eukaryota, Metazoa, Chordata, Mammalia, Lagomorpha, Leporidae.
CUAACCCUGCAUGGUGGCAGCCAUGCUUCCCAUCACUCUCCCAGGGACGGCCUGCUGCAAGGCGAGAUGAGAGACCCGGGUCAGUGACCCAGCGGAGCCACUGGCUUAGUCACCGCCUGAUCCGACCCCACCCUCAGGGCCUCAGUUUACCCAUUCAGAAAAUUACUGGGUAGGAUAGGAUGUAAACCUCCAUCUCUCACGCCUCCCCAUCCGUCCUAGCCACCAUCCCCUGAUUAAAGGAUCAGCCUCGCCUCCUUUGAUGAUUGCAACACAGGAUCCCGGAAUUGCAGCUAGGAAGAACUCCAGAGCUCCAGAUUAUGCUCCCUGGCAAACCCCAUCCCCAGGUCAUAAACGGGGAAACUGAGGUUCUCUGGAAUUAAGCAACUUGUGGGCAAGAAAGACAGAGCUCCUAUGUGCUGGUUUACUUCCUAAAUGCCCACAAAAGGCAAGGAACUCAACUCAAGCCUCCCACACGGAUUACAGGAACCAAACUACUUGAGCCAUCACCUGUGGGCUCCUGGGGUCUGCACUGGCAGGCAGCUGGAAUCAGAAGCUGGGAGUCGAACCUGUGGCACCCCGAUUUGUUACAUACCCUCUUCGCUGGGGACUUAACUUCUAGGCCAAACACUUGCCCCAGAAGGAACCCAGAGUAGAAAAAUCGUCUAAGGAAAUCUCAAAGGUUACGGGGCCGGAAAGUGACAUCGAGGUCAAGAAAUUCAGCAGCUUGAACUAUCGUCUUGGUGGAAGACUUGGAGCCGGCCAGUGUUCUGGCCUCAGUUCUCUUAUCUCUAAAAAUAAACCAGAUGAAUGGCACCCUUUCUAAAGUGCUUUUUAGCUCCAAAGCUCAUGAUUCCAACAUGAAAAAUGUGGAUAUUGUAAUAUUCAGUGGGGGAGCUCGUGCCACAACGUAGGAAAGUAAAAUUGCCAAAGGCAAGAGCUGAAGGAAAAAACACACAGUGCUGGUGUUAUUAGAUUGUUGCAUAUUU